Juglans microcarpa x Juglans regia is the source of this 218-nucleotide long non-coding RNA. RefSeq lists it as uncharacterized. The transcript is spliced from 3 exons. The record is from RefSeq and is a predicted model, not a curated record. NCBI's taxonomy places the organism in Eukaryota, Viridiplantae, Streptophyta, Magnoliopsida, Fagales, Juglandaceae.
GGAGUAUGAAACAGCUAAGCGACACUAUGCACAUAUAGACUAUCCAGGACAUGCAGAUUAUGUUAAGAACAUGAUUACGGGUGCUGCACAAAUGGAUGGGGGUAUUCUUGUUGUACCUGCCCCCGAUGGCCCCAUGCCGCAGACCAAGGAACAUAUUCUGCUUGCUCGCCAGGUUGGUGUGCCAUCACUUGUGUGUUUUCUAAAUAAGGUCGAUGCUU